Non-coding RNA from Momordica charantia (bitter melon), 3725 nucleotides. The record is from RefSeq and is a predicted model, not a curated record. NCBI's taxonomy places the organism in Eukaryota, Viridiplantae, Streptophyta, Magnoliopsida, Cucurbitales, Cucurbitaceae.
GUUAAUGAAAACUGUUCCCCAAAGGAAAAAGGAAAGGAGAAAAAAUUCUCAGUGUGUGUGUUUCUCAGUUCAUUCCCUUUUAUUUGAUUUGUUAUAUUUAAUUAUUUUCAAUUUUAUGUUCUCUUCUAAGUUUUGAUCACAUUCACAACGUCGAAGAGCUAGCGCAUUCAUCACAAGUAGGAAGGAGAAAGCCCGACACAGGCUCGAACAUAUCUUCAGAUCCAAACUCUCUCUACUCCCCAUCUCAGAUCUCUUCAAGACCCGUUCGGAUCUCGGAUUUCGUCUUCACAACAUUCAAAUCGCUGCUUAAUCUGGAGACCUCUGAUUAAUUAGCCGCUACUCCUGAUAUCCAUUCCGAUCUUGUAUACCUUUGUUGGAGCUUCGACCGGGAGUCAACAAUGAAUCCCUUCUCGUCCGGGACGCGUCUCAGGGACAUGAUUCGGGCUAUUCGUGCUUGCAAAACUGCAGCUGAGGAACGUGCUGUGAUUCGAAAAGAGUGUGCUGCUAUUCGAGCUGCCAUUGAUGAAAAUGAUCAUGACUAUAGGCAUCGAAAUCUUGCAAAGCUCAUGUUCAUUCACAUGCUUGGUUAUCCCACACAUUUUGGUCAAAUGGAAUGCCUGAAGUUGAUUGCAUCUGCUGGUUUCCCAGAAAAGAGAAUUGGGUAUCUUGGCCUCAUGUUACUUCUGGAUGAAAGACAAGAAGUUCUUAUGUUGGUCACAAACUCAUUAAAACAAGAUCUCAACCACUCAAACCAGUACAUUGUAGGACUUGCUCUUUGUGCUUUAGGAAAUAUUUGUUCAGCUGAAAUGGCUCGUGAUCUCGCACCAGAAGUUGAAAGACUGCUACAGUUUCGUGACCCAAAUAUUAGGAAGAAAGCAGCAUUAUGUUCUAUAAGGAUUAUAAGGAAAGUACCAGACCUUGCAGAAAAUUUUGUUAACCCUGCUGCCUCCUUACUGAAAGAAAAGCACCAUGGGGUUAUGAUAACAGGAGUUCAACUUUGUACAGAACUUUGCAAACAUAGCUCAGAAGCCCUGGAAUAUUUUAGAAAGAAGUCAACAGAGGGCGUAGUCAAGACAUUGAAGGAUUUGGUGAACAGUCCAUAUGCUCCCGAGUAUGAUAUUGCUGGAAUAACAGACCCAUUUCUCCAUAUUCGGUUGCUUAAAUUUUUGCGCGUCUUGGGCCAAGGAGAUGAAGAUGCUAGUGACUGUAUGAAUGAUAUACUUGCACAGGUGGCAACGAAAACUGAAUCAAACAAAAACUCAGGGAAUGCUAUUCUAUACGAGUGUGUUGAAACUAUAAUGAGUAUAGAAGAUAGUGGCGGCUUACGUGUUCUCGCUAUCAAUAUACUGGGAAGAUUCUUGUCUAAUCGUGAUAACAAUAUCAGAUAUGUAGCAUUAAACAUGCUUAUGAAGGCUAUCAUAGUAGAUGGUCAAGCAGUGCAGAGACAUCGGACAACGAUCUUGGAAUGUGUAAAGGAUUCAGAUGCUUCAAUUCGGAAGAGGGCCCUUGAACUUGUCUACCUUCUAAUAAAUGAUAGCAAUGUCAAGCCUCUGACAAAAGAGCUUAUUGAUUACCUGGAAGUUGCUGAUCAAGAAUUUAAGGGAGAUCUUACUGCAAAAAUUUGCUCAAUUGUUGCAAAGUACUCUCCAGAGAAAAUCUGGUACAUUGAUCAGAUGCUGAAGGUUCUCUCUGAGGCUGGAAAUUUUAUUAAAGAUGAAGUAUGGCAUGCCCUUAUUGUCGUGAUAAGCAAUGCAUCUGACCUCCACGGGUAUACUGUAAGGGCCUUAUACAGAGCAUUUCAGAUAUCUAGUGAACAGCAGGAAAGUCUUGUUCGAGUGGCAGUUUGGUGCAUUGGGGAAUAUGGCGACAUGCUGGUAAAUAAUAUUGGAAUGCUUGAUGUAGAGGACUCCAUAGUUGUUACGGAAUCUGAUGCUGUAGAUGUUGCUGAAACUGCUAUUAAACGCCAUGGCUCAGAUCUCACGACCAAAGCAAUGGCUAUGAUUGCUUUGCUGAAGCUCUCUUCUCGUUUCCCAUCAUGUUCAGAGAGGGUCAACCAUUUAAUUGUUCAAUAUAAAGGAAGCCUUGUGCUUGAAUUGCAGCAAAGAUCAAUCGAAUUCAAUUCCAUCAUUGCAAAUCAUCAGAAUAUGAGGUCUGCAUUGGUUGAAAGGAUGCCAGUUUUGGAUGAGGCUACGUUCAUUGGAAAAAGGGCUGGUUCUAUGCCAGCAUCAGUUUCGACUUCCAAUGGGGCUGCAAUUACUCUUCCAAAUGGAGUUUCCAAAUCUGCUGCUCCUCUAGUUGAUUUACUUGAUCUAAGUUCGGAUGAUGUCCCUGUGCCUAGCUCUUCUGGUAGUGAUUUUAUUCAGGAUCUUCUUGGGCUUGAUUUGACCGCAGCUCCAGAGCAAUCCGGAAGUAAUCAAGCUCCAAAAAGUGGAACUGAUGUUCUAUUGGAUCUUUUAUCUAUUGGGACGCCACCUACACAGAGUACUGCAUCUGCUACUGACAUAUUAGCAAAUCAAGACAAAUCACUUACUGUUCAAUUGGAUGGACUCUCUUCUCUUUCUCCUCUCUCUGCGAGCAAACCUUCUGCUCCUGUACCUGCUCCUACAAUUGAUUUGUUGAGUGCCUUGUCCCCUAACGCAGCAAGUGCAGAUGAGAAUGGUUCAGUUUAUCCAUCUAUAGUUGCAUACGAAAGCGGAUCAUUGAGAAUAGCUUUUGAUUUCUCUAAGGCAGCUGGGAGCCCACAAACGACAUUUAUCCAUGCCACAUUUACGAAUUUAUCUCAUAAUACCUAUACAAAUUUCAUUUUCCAGGCAGCAGUUCCAAAGUUCCUCCAAUUGCAUUUAGAUCCGGCUAGUGGUAGUACUCUGCCUGGAGGUGGUAAUGGGUCUAUCACACAAAAGUUGAGAGUGACUAAUAGCCAGUAUGGGAAGAAGCAUCUUGUGAUGCGCCUAAGGAUAGCGUACAAGGUGGAUGACAAAGAUAUUUUGGAGGAGGGUCAAGUCAAUAAUUUCCCUCGUAAUUUGUGAUGUUAGACGGCUCUGAAAGUGUAAAGAUGCGCAUUGAUGGCUGAUUUUGCUUCCCUGGGAUUUCUAUAAAUCCAAUGACAUCACUCUGGCCCUCCAUCUCUCUUGUUUCUGAAUCUCUUUUCAGAGUGGUUUUGUACAUUAUUUCAAGUUAUUGUACGGGGAUUUGGUUAUAAAAAUUUUGUCUUGCAUGAAGAGGUGGGAGCUCAAGUGUUACAUUAAGGAUUGGAGGACCAUGAUGUAAUUCCCCAGUUGAAAGAGCUCUCCAGUUUGGACCCUCUUCUUUUUUCCUUUUCCCUCUACUGGAAAGAAGCUCUAUUUGGUUCGGACCUACUGAAUUUUGUUUUGAAUUCUUAAUUCAUUAAUUUAGAAGUAUAUCUGGAUUCUGGACCAAAUUUGUGUGGUAGGGUAGCUCAAUCAGGCGACCAAUUAUGAUUAUAAUAUCGAUAAUCAAAUCUCCCGGGCAAGGCUCGAGUUUCUGUGCAAACAUAUUUUAAGUAGCAGAUGGGAAUUGCACUCGGAUGGUAACAAGUGGCAUGGUAUGCAAUUGCGGUCCAUAAAAACGAAAUGAAUAUAUUGAUAAGCAAAUAGAUAUGUAAGAACACUUUUUUUCCUUUUCCAUUUUCCCCCAAAAAGAACUAACCAUACCCAAGAGUAUUUCUAACGGGCAGGAAUUACAUGGAUAUGUGAGUUUUUUUUGUC